AGCUUUAAUUCAUAUGGGCUUUGUGAUAUUGUUACUUGCUGGACUACCUUUUUCAGAAACACUUCCGUUUCCUAUUCUCUUAGCGUCGCCGAAGAUUGCUUUUUUUCUUUUCUUUUUUUUUCCAGCGAAUGCUUAGACCGUUCAUCUAACCGGCGUCGAAAUCUCCAUCUAUAAUACGUGAAGCCAUUGUUUCCGGCGAUACCUGUUAAAACCCGGCGGCGAUGGUGUCUUUCAUCUAUUUUCUGUGAUAUGGCUAACUCAGCAACUCUCUUUUUCUGUUUGUGAUCGAAGAUGGCGGAAAGCUUUCACCUAUAGCUGUUGCUUUCACCGAUGAGCAGACCAAGAGUUUUACGAAGCUUUCUGUCUCCUCGACAAAGACUCAGAGGGUAUGUCGUUGUUUACUUUGGUCUUACUCAAAAUACAACCUUCUAUACGAACAGACCAUGGAACUGAUGAUAAGAUGGAUUAGCUGAUAUUUAUAUAUGCUGUUCGUGAGAAACCAAAGAAAGUGAUGAAAUCGAUGUGGAAGAAUUGAAAUGCAGAACUUUGGGAGAUGAUGAUCGUCAUCUACGUUUGAUGGCAAUGGAGACAUCUAUAUAAUGGCCCAAAACACCUCUCAGCAGGGAAGCUUGAAGAUCAUCAGCCACCAUCCCUACUUCAAAUGGAUAUACAAAACAUAGACAUAUUUUUAGAUUAGUCUUCGAUAGGUGCAUAAGGAGGUGGUACGGUGAGAGAUCAGCUGGAGAAGAAAGAGCGAGAUCCAGGAUUGUAGAGUCAGAGUGAAAGGAGACGGAGCCAGAGAUUCACGACACACAAGCAGAUGGAUUUAACUUCUUCUUAUGAUCAGAACGAUGCUUGACAAUGAGAUUCAAGGAGAAGAAGCUCCGGAACCUUCUCUUGCUGGAAAGAGAAGAAAAGAAACUGAAAGACCAAGCUCUGCUCUUCCACAAAAACCAAGGUAAUCAAUUGCUCAUAGAGCAAAAGUAUGGGAAUUCUUUAUCCAAAAAGAAGAUGAUCGUGCACAAUGCAAUUGUUGUUUCUGCAAAAUUGCAGGAACUGAAAGUAGCACCUGAAACACGUACGUGUUCUCCACGUGAAAUUACUAAGUGUAUCUUGGUUCCUUUUUGUAUUUAAUUCAGCUUGAGUUACAAUUUGUGUUUGUUUAAGAUUUUUAUUGCAAGUUGUUUUCUCUUCUCUGUUAUUGUUGUAAACUUGUGAUGUCAGCAUCUUUCAUCAAUAAGUUAGUACAACGUGGGUUCGAAA
Molecule: long non-coding RNA, 1263 nt
Organism: Brassica napus (rape)
Lineage: Eukaryota; Viridiplantae; Streptophyta; Magnoliopsida; Brassicales; Brassicaceae
Exons: 4
Source: RefSeq, a predicted model, not a curated record